GACGUAGGGCGCGAGCGUUGUCCGGAUUUAUUGGGCGUAAAGAGCUCGUAGGCGGCUUGUCGCGUCGACUGUGAAAUCCCGCGGCUCAACCGCGGGUCUGCAGUCGAUACGGGCAGGCUAGAGUUCGGUAGGGGAGACUGGAAUUCCUGGUGUAGCGGUGAAAUGCGCAGAUAUCAGGAGGAGCACCGAUGGCGAAGGCAGGUCUCUGGGCCGAUACUGACGCUGAGGAGCGAAAGCGUGGGGAGCGAACAGG
This 253-nucleotide ribosomal RNA is filed under the name uncultured bacterium. RNAcentral's name for it is "partial 16S ribosomal RNA". It matches the Rfam family "Bacterial small subunit ribosomal RNA", at positions 524 to 776 of the family's 1533-position model. The record is from RNAcentral.